This is a non-coding RNA of Aedes aegypti (yellow fever mosquito), 117 nucleotides long. The record is from Rfam. NCBI's taxonomy places the organism in Eukaryota, Metazoa, Arthropoda, Insecta, Diptera, Culicidae.
UGCCCAGCAACUCCUAUCCCUAACUCCUCGUGGUACUGGCCGGGGUACGAGUAACCUUGGGGAAGAUCGGGUAACCAACCCCCGGUGGGAACUUUGGUCGUAUGCUGACAGAGAAGG